This 443-nucleotide ribosomal RNA is filed under the name uncultured bacterium. Its description in RNAcentral is "partial 16S ribosomal RNA". It matches the Rfam family "Bacterial small subunit ribosomal RNA", at positions 338 to 795 of the family's 1533-position model. The record is from RNAcentral.
CCUACGGGAGGCAGCAGUGGGGAAUAUUGGGCAAUGGGCGCAAGCCUGAACCAGCAACGCCGCGUGAAGGAAGAAGGCUUUCGGGUUGUAAACUUCUUUUCUCCGGGACGAAGAUAGUGCCGGUACUUGACGUAUCAGCCGCGGCUAAAGACGUGCCAGCAGCCGCCGUAAUACGUAGGUGGCAAGCGUUAACCGGGUUUAGUGGGUGUAAGGGGCGUGUAGGCUGGAGGGCAAGUCAGAUGUGAAAACUCAGGGCUCAACCCUGGGCGUGCAUUUGAUACUGUGGUUCUUGAGUGCUGGAGAGGGAAUCGGAAUUCCGUGUGUAGCGGUGAAAUGCGUAGAUAUACGGAGGAACACCAGUGGCGAAGGUGGAUUGCUGGACAGUAACUGACGCUGAGGCGCGAAAGCGUGGGGAGCAAACAGGAUUAGAUACCCGGGUAGUC